UUUAUACGUCGAAUUUUGGUCGCGACGAAUGCAAUUAAGACAAUAGAUAAUGAGAUGAUAAACCUCAUUAAGCUUCAUUAUCUAUUGUUUGAAUUGCAUUCGACGCGACCGAAAUUCGACGUAUAAA
Paramuricea clavata is the source of this 127-nucleotide non-coding RNA. The record is from the annotation of a GenBank genome assembly. NCBI's taxonomy places the organism in Eukaryota, Metazoa, Cnidaria, Anthozoa, Malacalcyonacea, Plexauridae.